This 253-nucleotide ribosomal RNA is filed under the name uncultured bacterium. RNAcentral's name for it is "partial 16S ribosomal RNA". It matches the Rfam family "Bacterial small subunit ribosomal RNA", at positions 524 to 776 of the family's 1533-position model. The record is from RNAcentral.
UACGUAGGGGGCUAGCGUUGUCCGGAUUUAUUGGGCGUAAAGAGCGCGUAGGCGGCCGAGUAAGUCCGACGUGAAAUCUGGAGGCUCAACCUCCAGCGGUCGUUGGAAACUACUCGGCUAGAGUCCGGAAGAGGAGAGUGGAAUUCCUGGUGUAGCGGUGAAAUGCGCAGAUAUCAGGAGGAACACCGGUGGCGAAGGCGGCAUCCUGGACCGGUAUUGACGCUGAGGCGCGAAAGCCAGGGGAGCAAACGGG